Molecule: ribosomal RNA, 375 nt
Filed under: uncultured organism
Description: bacterial SSU rRNA
Rfam family: Bacterial small subunit ribosomal RNA
Source: RNAcentral
CAGAGGUGGCAAGCGUUGUUCGGAAUUACUGGGCGUAAAGGGCGCGUAGGCGGCCUUCUAAGUCAGACGUGAAAUCCCCAGGCUUAACUUGGGAACUGCGUCUGAUACUGGAGGGCUCGAGUGCGGGAGAGGGAUGUGGAAUUCCAGGUGUAGCGGUGAAAUGCGUAGAUAUCUGGAGGAACACCGGUGGCGAAGGCGGCAUCCUGGACCGACACUGACGCUGAGGCGCGAAAGCUAGGGGAGCAAAACGGGAUUAGAUACCCCGGUAGUCCUAGCCCUAAAACGAUGAGUGCUUGGUGUGGCGGGUAUCGAUCCCUGCCGUGCCGAAGCUAACGCAUUAAGCACUCCGCCUGGGAGUACGGUCGCAAAGGCUGA